UAAGACUUUAAGUUAAUUAAAACUUUAUACCUUCAAAGUAUACAUUACUUUCCAGUAAGUCUUAG
This 65-nucleotide transfer RNA is filed under the name Ogadenus brumpti. RNAcentral describes it as "Argas brumpti tRNA-Trp". Lineage: Eukaryota; Metazoa; Arthropoda; Arachnida; Ixodida; Argasidae. The record is from RNAcentral.